This is a long non-coding RNA of Parus major (Great Tit), 2615 nucleotides long. RefSeq lists it as uncharacterized. NCBI's taxonomy places the organism in Eukaryota, Metazoa, Chordata, Aves, Passeriformes, Paridae. The transcript is spliced from 5 exons. The record is from RefSeq and is a predicted model, not a curated record.
ACAUCAGUACCUGCUAACUGGAUUAUUCAUUAAAGUCUGCUGUAAUUAUUGUCCAUCCCUAUUUCUAACAUCAACACCUACAUGCUGUACUCCUGCAUUAUUUGCAACGCAGGUCUGAGACCUCUGGCAGCUAUAAGUUCUGUGUUACACAGAGAAAUAUAUUUCAUUUGAAUGACAACUUUAAUAUGCCACUAGCUCUGCAAAGGAAUACGUGAAGCUGAGCAUUGCAAAGGAUGCGUUGUGUAGCAUUAAAGAACAAAGAAAUACAACACAGAAAAAGAAGGAAAAGAGGAAAGAAAAAAGGAGUAUCUGAGGCAAUAACUAUUUCUUCUCCUGCUAACCCUAACAAGCAUUUCUCCCAUGACUUGCUUGUUGUUCAAAGUGCAGUGUCCAAGUGAAAGCCAGGACUGCUGGUUGGAGGUGCCAGGUCUGGUUAAACACAGCAGAACCAAACAAAGAGCUCCUCCAAACCUGCAGAACUCAGUGGACAGACCUCUUGGUUCUCCCCCAUCUGGAAUAACUCCUCGAGCACAAGCAACCCCAGUGAAACACGGAACUAUUUCUAUUCACAUGGAACUAUUCACUGCCUCAGAAACCUCUCACAUGAACAUUUCAGAAGUUAUUCAAGGAAUCCUCUGACAAGGCAGUUAAGGCAGAACCUGACAUUUCUGACAUUUUUCCUUUGAAAAGGAAACACAAAUGAAUAACCCACAAGUACUGUAAGUUGAAAAUCACCACCUCCAUCAGUGCCACAGAUUCCCUACUCUAAACACACCCACCCUGGUGUGACUUUUUUAGGACACCUGGCUCAAGAAAACCUAUUUCUGUGAUAAACAGGUAAGCAUAUUUUUUUUGAAGGGGUAUGGAAAAUCAUAUGCAAGUGAGCAAAUAAGGACUCCUUCAUGUGGAACUGUUUCUCAUUACAGACAGGGUUUUUUCCUCAACAGCUUCAAUAUGAGAUUGUCAUUUUCCUCCUCUCCAAGCCCUCGUGGAAUACUCCCUAUGGAUGUAAUGCUGUGAGACGUGAAGUACCUCAUAAGAAAUUAAUUACCUCAACUCCACUGCUACAACUGGAGUACUAAGGGCUCUCCUUCCUGUGUCAAUUACCCUUUUCCAAUCAAUGUGCAGGAACAGCCUAGAAUUUAAAGCCUCUCAGCACAACUAUUUUUUGGCAUUCAGUUACAUAUCGUUUGUAAGACACCAAAACAAAUUUCAAAUUUCAUUCUAGAUAAGCACACAUCAAACAGCCUAAAAACCCCAGAAUUUAGAAUGCAUAACCCUUUAAUUAUUAGAAAACACAUUGAAACACUGAAAUAUGCAGAUCCAAAUUAAUCCUAAAAUCUCAGAAAGAACUAUGUUGCUGGAAUAUGCAUAAUAUUGCACAUUUUAACCCACUCUCCAAAACACUGGUGUCAGUCAGCUGAAGGUGUGGAGGGUGGCCAGGUUGUCUCAAGGACAGAGCUGGGAUCUUUAUCCCUGGGAUAAUAAAUUCUCUUGGAAGUGACUGGGAUCCAGUCAUAAGACAAGGAACAUCCACCAUUCUAAUUUUUUAUUGUUUCUUUCUAAUACCUGAGACAAAUAUCUCCUUUUAUCAGUUUUUCUCCUACUUUUUCACAUUGGGAAUGUUAGAAAAGUUCAGCAUGACUCCAAGGUGAUCCUGAAAAAACACCCAGACUUUUCCAGUACUUAUUUAGGGACAGGUGUCCCAGGAAGUGUCACAUGUGUCACAACCAGUGUGUUGCAGAGCAAAUACAACAAUCUUUUAUUAACAACCAUCACUGACUACUUCUAAAGCAAAAACCAAACACCACAGGCACUUCAUAUUUGAAAUAUGAUGGUCUUAAAACUUGAUAGAGAAACCUUAAAGGCCAGUAGUACUUUAUUUUGGUUUGUAUUCAACUCCAGGCCUAUCAGAGGAAUCAGCAGGGAGUAAAAAGGACAUUAAAUUUCUUUUAAUCAGAUGUUAGUGUCAUUCACAGAUGAUGCAGGAAGGAAAGGCAAACCUAAGUAGAAAUAGAGCAAUACUAUCGAACUGACAGCAAGAAGUAUACUUGAGGUUAAUCUGCCUUUUACUAAGAAGCAAUUUUCUAAGUUUCUAGUACGGAAGUUUUUAAUUGAAUAUCCAUCUACCUUUCACCAAAGUGUUCUGGCAGUUUUACAGCAGCAAAAUAGAAAAUUAGUUGGAAAAAAUCUCGUUCUACAGCAGCAGCAUAAGACUUUCCUAUGAUGAACUAUCAUAUAAAUUGCUUGGAGAUUAUAUGCUGCUAUGAGAAAGAGGAAGGGGAUAGAGGGAGAAGAGAAUUCAAAAUAAAAUAUAGUGGAGUGCUGAGACAGUCCUUCUCAUCCAGAUUGUUUAAAAGUCUUAGCUGUACUCUAAAUCUGAAAGUUAUGGUCUUAAACAGCAGCUAUAAAUAGGGAAAAAUGUCCAGCAGCAAGGCACUCUCAUUCUGCCUUACCUGGGGACAGGCUGAGUUAGUGCAGGUUCCAAAGUGGCACAGCAAAGGCACAGACUGCAUUUUUCAAGGAAUCAAACACAAGUUUACUGUGGCUUUUGAGGUGGUAUUUUAAUGUACAAUGUGCUACACAAAUAGAUUCCUGUAGUCUUAAGAGGAGUG